This 773-nucleotide ribosomal RNA is filed under the name uncultured Streptococcus sp. RNAcentral describes it as "bacterial SSU rRNA". It matches the Rfam family "Bacterial small subunit ribosomal RNA", at positions 28 to 776 of the family's 1533-position model. The record is from RNAcentral. Lineage: Bacteria; Bacillati; Bacillota; Bacilli; Lactobacillales; Streptococcaceae.
GACGAACGCUGGCGGCGUGCCUAAUACAUGCAAGUAGAACGCACAGGAUGCACCGUAGUUUACUACACCGUAUUCUGUGAGUUGCGAACGGGUGAGUAACGCGUAGGUAACCUGCCUGGUAGCAGGGGAUAACUAUUGGAAACGAUAGCUAAUACCGCAUAAGAACAUUUACUGCAUGGUAGAUGUUUAAAAGGUGCAAAUGCAUCACUACCAGAUGGACCUGCGUUGUAUUAGCUAGUAGGUGAGGUAACGGCUCACCUAGGCGACGAUACAUAGCCGACCUGAGAGGGUGAUCGGCCACACUGGGACUGAGACACGGCCCAGACUCCUACGGGAGGCAGCAGUAGGGAAUCUUCGGCAAUGGGGGGAACCCUGACCGAGCAACGCCGCGUGAGUGAAGAAGGUUUUCGGAUCGUAAAGCUCUGUUGUUAAGGAAGAACGAGUGUGAGAAUGGAAAGUUCAUACUGUGACGGUACUUAACCAGAAAGGGACGGCUAACUACGUGCCAGCAGCCGCGGUAAUACGUAGGUCCCGAGCGUUGUCCGGAUUUAUUGGGCGUAAAGCGAGCGCAGGCGGUUAGAUAAGUCUGAAGUUAAAGGCAGUGGCUCAACCAUUGUAGGCUUUGGAAACUGUUUAACUUGAGUGCAGAAGGGGAGAGUGGAAUUCCAUGUGUAGCGGUGAAAUGCGUAGAUAUAUGGAGGAACACCGGUGGCGAAAGCGGCUCUCUGGUCUGUAACUGACGCUGAGGCUCGAAAGCGUGGGGAGCGAACAGG